GGCUGGUCCAAGUGCAGUGGUGUUUACAACUAAUUGAUCACGACCAGUUAUCGAUUUCUUUGUUCCUUCUCCACUCCCACUGCUUCUCUCGGCUAGCCUUUA
This 102-nucleotide Y RNA is filed under the name Saimiri boliviensis boliviensis (Bolivian squirrel monkey). RNAcentral describes it as "Y RNA (ENSSBOG00000005582.1)". It matches the Rfam family "Y RNA". From Rfam's summary of the family: Y RNAs are components of the Ro ribonucleoprotein particle (Ro RNP), in association with Ro60 and La proteins. The Y RNAs and Ro60 and La proteins are well conserved, but the function of the Ro RNP is not known. The record is from Rfam by way of RNAcentral. Lineage: Eukaryota; Metazoa; Chordata; Mammalia; Primates; Cebidae.